This 419-nucleotide ribosomal RNA is filed under the name uncultured Prevotella sp. Its description in RNAcentral is "bacterial SSU rRNA". It matches the Rfam family "Bacterial small subunit ribosomal RNA", at positions 358 to 774 of the family's 1533-position model. Lineage: Bacteria; Pseudomonadati; Bacteroidota; Bacteroidia; Bacteroidales; Prevotellaceae. The record is from RNAcentral.
GGAAUAUUGGUCAAUGGGCGAGAGCCUGAACCAGCCAAGUAGCGUGAGGGACGACGGCCCUACGGGUUGUAAACCUCUUUUUCGCGGGGAUAAAGUGCGCCACGCGUGGCGUUUUGCAGGUACCGCGUGAAUAAGGACCGGCUAAUUCCGUGCCAGCAGCCGCGGUAAUACGGAAGGUCCGGGCGUUAUCCGGAUUUAUUGGGUUUAAAGGGAGCGCAGGCUGAUUAUUAAGCGUGACGUGAAAUGUAGCCGCUCAACGGCUGAACUGCGUCGCGAACUGGUAGUCUGGAGUGAGUUCGAUGUUGGCGGAAUUCGUGGGGUAGCGGUGAAAUGCUUAGAUAUCACGAAGAACUCCGAUUGCGAAGGCAGCCAACAAGGCCUUUACUGACGCUAAAGCUCGAAGGUGCGGGUAUCGAACA